Long non-coding RNA from Oncorhynchus keta (chum salmon), 851 nucleotides. RefSeq lists it as uncharacterized. The transcript has 3 exons. NCBI's taxonomy places the organism in Eukaryota, Metazoa, Chordata, Actinopteri, Salmoniformes, Salmonidae. The record is from RefSeq and is a predicted model, not a curated record.
AGCCAGCAGAACAGCCCAUUAGAGAGGUGGCCACCCCCACAGAGAAGCCAGCAGAACAGCCCACUAGAGAGGUGGCCACCCCCACAGAGAAGCCAGCAGAACAGCCCAUUAGAGAGGUGGCCACCCCCACAGAGAAGCCAGCAGAACAGCCCAUUAGAGAGGUGGCCACCCCCACAGAGAAGCCAGCAGAACAGCCCAUUAGAGAGGUGGCCACCCCCACAGAGAAGCCAGCAGAACAGCCCAUUGGAGAGGUGGCCACCCCCACAGAGAAGCCAGCAGAACAGCCCAUUGGAGAGGUGGCCACCCCAUCGAACUAGGGUCACCCAGCCACAUAACAAUACACAUAGGCACAAGGGAGUGAUUGAAGAGGCGUGAUUGAAAAGUGAUUGAAAAAGCUUCUUAUAUUUUCCCCAACGCACAAGUGGUGAUCUCUCCACCCUGCUUGAGGCAAAAGAAACACACCUAUUUAGACGAGGUGCUGGCUAGUGGAGUAGAACACUUGAACAAAAAUAUUUAUGUCCAACGUUUCAACAGACAAGCUGUCUUCAUCUCCACCCUGCUACCAUACAGCGGGUAAAUGCAUGUAUGUUCCUGUGACUGUGCCUCAAAACCAAAUGUCUACCUGGCCCACCAUCCACCCUGGACUUGACGAGCAGGUCCACCUAUACGAGGCAGCAGUGCCCACCAACGCCCGGACCCUGAAGGAUAUCGCCCUCAACCGCAGCCCCGUCACCUCACACAGGAGCAACAGAUCAAUAGACACCCGCCCAGACCAGUGAGACACUCUCCCAGACCUGCGGGACCCCCCCGGACCCACGCCGAGAGGAACUACAUUCCGACCACAGCACCAG